GGAAGAGAGAAAGAAGAGAAGUUUAUGUUCUCUCUCACAAACUCCAUUUUCGCAACUCUUGGUACAACUCCACUAAAACGCUUCUGUUUUAAAGGAGAAAAUCAAGCUUGAAGUUGGGACAUGCAUGCUGAAUGUGAAGAAGAAUGGGUUACGGGUUUGGUGAGCUUGAAGGUGAAGUUUGUGUCAAGAAGGGAGUUCAAUGGCAGCAAGAGCAUCCUCAUAACCUCUCUAAAUCCAUGGUGCAGUUUAGUAGCUUUUGAUAGAUAGCAGGUUCGGAUUGAUGGCUUGAAGUGGUGUUGGCUCGAAGACCUCGUUGGUUUUGACAUUCCGCUGUGCAAGAUCCAUUGAAGACUCAUGUAUUAUGCUUCUUAGUAGAAGUUCAUGUUGUAUUUUAUAUGGAUCAAAUAUUGUAUCUUGACUUGUGUAUGUACUCAAUAUCAAUUUUAACGUUUCAUGCAUAAUAUACUAGUCAGUUAUGUUUGGGGUGUUACAA
Long non-coding RNA from Vicia villosa (hairy vetch), 493 nucleotides. RefSeq lists it as uncharacterized. The transcript has 3 exons. The record is from RefSeq and is a predicted model, not a curated record. NCBI's taxonomy places the organism in Eukaryota, Viridiplantae, Streptophyta, Magnoliopsida, Fabales, Fabaceae.